Molecule: ribosomal RNA, 253 nt
Filed under: uncultured bacterium
Lineage: Bacteria
Description: partial 16S ribosomal RNA
Rfam family: Bacterial small subunit ribosomal RNA
Source: RNAcentral
UACAGAGGGGGCAAGCGUUAUUCGGAAUUAUUGGGCGUAAAGGGCGCGUAGGCGGCUUGGCAAGUGGAUGGUGAAAUCCCUCGGCUUAACCGAGGAACUGCCGUCCAAACUGCUUCGCUUGAGACCGGGAGAGGUGAGUGGAAUUCCCAGUGUAGCGGUGAAAUGCGUAGAUAUUGGGAGGAACACCAGUGGCGAAGGCGGCUCACUGGACCGGUACUGACGCUGAUGCGCGAAAGCUAGGGGAGCGAACAGG